GACGUCAGCGCACUUUGCUUACGUGGCAACAAAGCGCGGCCUUAAGAACGCGAUUUGUGUCCAUGUCAGCAUAGCGCGCUGACGUGG
Gossypium hirsutum (cotton) is the source of this 87-nucleotide non-coding RNA. The record is from Rfam. NCBI's taxonomy places the organism in Eukaryota, Viridiplantae, Streptophyta, Magnoliopsida, Malvales, Malvaceae.